RNAcentral lists this ribosomal RNA (550 nucleotides) under uncultured bacterium. RNAcentral's name for it is "bacterial SSU rRNA". It matches the Rfam family "Bacterial small subunit ribosomal RNA", at positions 355 to 896 of the family's 1533-position model. The record is from RNAcentral.
UAGGGAAUCUUCGGCAAUGGGGGCAANCCUGACCGAGCAACGCCGCGUGAGUGAAGAAGGUUUUCGGAUCGUAAAGCUCUGUUGUAAGAGAAGAACGAGUGUGAGAGUGGAAAGUUCACACUGUGACGGUAACUUACCAGAAAGGGACGGCUAACUACGUGCCAGCAGCCGCGGUAAUACGUAGGUCCCGAGCGUUAUCCGGAUUUAUUGGGCGUAAAGCGAGCGCGGGCGGUUAGAUAAGUCUGAAGUUAAAGGCUGUGGCUUAACCAUAGUACGCUUUGGAAACUGUUUAACUUGAGUGCAGAAGGGGAGAGUGGAAUUCCAUGUGUAGCGGUGAAAUGCGUAGAUAUAUGGAGGAACACCGGUGGCGAAAGCGGCUCUCUGGUCUGUAACUGACGCUGAGGCUCGAAAGCGUGGGGAGCAAACAGGAUUAGAUACCCUGGUAGUCCACGCCGUAAACGAUGAGUGCUAGGUGUUGGGUCCUUUCCGGGACUCAGUGCCGCAGCUAACGCAUUAAGCACUCCGCCUGGGGAGUACGACCGCAAGGUUG